AUUGAACGCUGGCGGCAGGCUUAACACAUGCAAUUCGCGCGAGCGGCGGACGGGUGAGUAAUGUCUGGGAAACUGCCUGAUGGAGGGGGAUAACUACUGGAAACGGUAGCUAAUACCGCAUACCAUCAGAUGGGCCCAGAUGGGAUUAGCUAGUAGGUGGGGUAAUGGCUCACCUAGGCGAAGAUCCCUAGCUGGUCUGAGAGGAUGACCAGCAACACUGGAACUGAGACACGGUCCAGACUCCUACGGGAGGCAGCAGUGGGUAAUAUUGCACAAUGGGCGAAAGCCUGAGUCAGCCAUGCCGCGUGUGUGAGGAAGGCCUUCGGGUUGUAAAGCACUUUCAGCGAGGAGGCGUUACUCGCAGAAGAAGCACCGGCUAACUCCGUGACAGCAGCCGCGGUAAUAC
RNAcentral lists this ribosomal RNA (406 nucleotides) under uncultured bacterium. RNAcentral's name for it is "partial 16S ribosomal RNA". It matches the Rfam family "Bacterial small subunit ribosomal RNA", at positions 30 to 526 of the family's 1533-position model. The record is from RNAcentral.